Chrysemys picta bellii (western painted turtle) is the source of this 1189-nucleotide non-coding RNA. The record is from RefSeq and is a predicted model, not a curated record. NCBI's taxonomy places the organism in Eukaryota, Metazoa, Chordata, Testudines, Emydidae.
GAUUAGGAAGUGCUCUCACUCCCACUUCACCCGAGGGUGAACAGGCGCAGCGCCGUCCUACAGCGUUGGAACAGCUGUUUUGAGGUAUUUAUUUGGCCUCCCUCUCCACAAGAGCUGAGCACCUCACAAUCACUAAUGGAUUUUGCUGGGUUUGUCUUGUUUCCUGCACCCCAAAGAAGUUCUGCCCAGAGAUUAAACGUCUCCUUUCUGGGAAGCGGUUUGCGAAAAUAAAACCAGAAUGUCUCGAAGAAUCCCAGAUCAACAGUCAAAGUGAUGAUUCCAAAAGAGGUCAUUGAUAAAGAUGUUAAAUAGUGUAGAGCCAAGAACAAUUCCCUGUAGGACCCGAUUGGAAACAGAGCUGCACGAUGAAGAUUUCCCAUUUACAGUUACAUUACAGUUAGCCAGUUUUUAAUCCAUUUAAUAUGUGAUAUGUACAUUUUUAUAUCUCUAGUUUUUAAUCAAAAUUUCAUGUUGUACCAAGUCAAACACUUUUCAGAAGCUUAAAUAUAUUACGUCAACACUAUUAACUUUAUCAGCCAAACUUGUAAUCUCAUUAAAAAAGAUAUCAAGUUAGUUUGACAGGAUCUAUUUUCCACUGCCCCAUAUUUAUUUGUAUUAAUUACAGUACCCUCCUCUAGUUCAUUAGUAAUCAAGGCCUGUGUCAGUUACUCCGUUAUCUUACUCAAGAUUGAUGUCAGGCUGAAAGGCCUAUAAUUACCCAGGUCAGACCCAUUUACCCUUUUAAAAACUGGCACAACUUUAGCUUUCUUCCAGUCUUCUAGAACUUCCCCAGUGCUCCAAGACUUACUGAAAAUCAUUAUUAAUGGUUCAUGUAACUCCUCAGGCAGCUCAUUUAAAACUCUUGGAUGCAAGUUAUCUGGAUCUGUUUAUUUUUAAAUUUCUGUCUUUAGUAGCUUCUGUUUAAUAUCUUUCAGAGAUACUGGUGGAAAGAGUAUUAUCAUCACCAUGUAAUGAGACUAUAUCAUCUGUUUUUCCCCAAAUAUAGAACAGAAAUAUUUAUUGAACAUCUCUGCCUUUUCUGCAUUAUUAUUGACAAUUCUACCAUUUCCAUCUAGUAAUGAAUCCACACCAUUGUUGGGAUUCUUAUUCUUCCUGAUACAUUAAAAAAACUCCUUCUAACUAUUCCUUUAUAUGCUGGCCAGCCAUUUUUAUAUACAUAUAUAUAAGG